AUUGAACGCUGGCGGCAGGCCUAACACAUGCAAGUCGAGCGGAUGAAGGGAGCUUGCUCCUGGAUUCAGCGGAGGACGGGUGAGUAAUGCCUAGGAAUCUGCCUGGUAGUGGGGGAUAAAGUCCGGCAACGGGCGCUAAUACCGCAUACGUCCUGAGGGAGAAAGUGGGGGAUCCUCGGACCCCACGCUAUCAGAUGAGCCUAGGUCGGAUUAGCUAGUUGGUGGGGUAAAGGCAUACCAAGGCGACGAUCCGUAACUGGUCUGAGAGGAUGAUCAGUCACACUGGAACUGAGACACGGUCCAGACUCCUACGGGAGGCAGCAGUGGGGAAUAUUGGACAAUGGGCGAAAGCCUGACCCAGCCAUGCCGCGUGUGUGAAGAAGGUCUUCGGAUUGUAAAGCACUUUAAUUUGGGAGGAAGGGCAGUAAGUUAAUACCUUGCUGUUUUGACGUUACCAACAGAAUAAGCACCGGCUAACUUCGUG
This 484-nucleotide ribosomal RNA is filed under the name uncultured bacterium. RNAcentral describes it as "partial 16S ribosomal RNA". It matches the Rfam family "Bacterial small subunit ribosomal RNA", at positions 30 to 507 of the family's 1533-position model. The record is from RNAcentral.